UAAUGUACAUUUCACGCCCGGCCUCAC
Molecule: non-coding RNA, 27 nt
Filed under: Rattus norvegicus (Norway rat)
Lineage: Eukaryota; Metazoa; Chordata; Mammalia; Rodentia; Muridae
Source: RNAcentral